ACCUCUUGAGCACGUCUAGACUCCAACCAUGAUGUAGCCGCAACCUUUGUAGUCAAAAACCACCCAGCAUGAUCAGGUGCUUCAUGGAACGGAGCAUUUAAUUCCUUAAGGUGCGACUCAAAUACACCUGCCAGACCUUUCUCGGAAUAUUUAUGUUUUCCAUGUCCUGUGUUGAUUCCAAGCAAUGAUGGGAACUCUUCCCCACUUUCAAGUGCUUUGUUCAAGUCGUUCAUCCAGAUGUGCAAUGCUGUUAAAGCUGCCCCGAGCGAGAGG
Molecule: long non-coding RNA, 273 nt
Filed under: Capsicum annuum
Lineage: Eukaryota; Viridiplantae; Streptophyta; Magnoliopsida; Solanales; Solanaceae
Description: long non-coding RNA (CANN_LNC020058)
Source: RNAcentral